GUUCGAUUAUGGCUCAUGAUUGAACGCUGGCAGGAUGCUUUGCAUACAGUCGAACGGCCAGCACGGACUUCGGUCUGGUGGCGAGUGGCGAACGGGUGAGUAAUGUAUCAGGGCAGUACCCUAUUGGCGGGGGAUAACUACGCGAAAGCGUAGCUAUUACCGCAUACCCUUCGAAGGCUUGGAGGACCUUGGAUAUCGCACUAUUAGAGCGGCCGAUAUCGGAUUAGCUAGUUGGUGGGAGUAACGGCUCACCAAGGCGACGAUCCGUAGCUGGUUUGAGAGGACGACCAACCACACUGGGACUGAGACACGGCCCGAACUCCUACGGGAGGCAGCAGUGGGGAAUUUGCGGAUAAUGGAAACCUGAUCCAGCCAUCCCGUGCGAUGAAGGCCUUCGGGUUGUAAGCACUUUUGGCAGGAAAGAAACGGCGCAGGAUAAUACCCCGUGCAACUGACAGUACCUGCAGAAUAGCCGCAAGCUAACUACGUGCCAGCAGCCGCGGUAAUACGUAGGGUGCAAGCGUUAAUCGGAAUUACUGGGCGAAAGUAAAGCGUGCACGAACGGUUCGAAAAAGAUGUGAAAUCCCAGAGCUUAACUUUGAGACUGCAUUUUUAACUACCGAGCUAGAGUGUCUGAAGGAGGUGGAAUUCCCGGCGAUGUAGCAGUGAAAUGCGUAGAUAUGCGGAGGAACACCGAUGGCGAAGGCAGCCUCCUGGGAUAACACUGACGCUCAUGCACAGCGUGGGAGCAAACAGGAUUAGAUACCCUGGUAGUCCACGCCUAAACGAUGUCAACUAGCUGUUGGGGCCUUUAGGCCUUGGUAGCUUUAAGCCUAACGCGUGAAGUUGACCGCCUGGGAGAGUACGGUCGCAAGAUUAAAACUCAAGGAAUUGACGGGGACCCGCACAAGCGGUGGAUGAUGUGGAUUAAUUCGAUGCAAAGCACUUGAAAACCUUACCUACCCUUGACAUGUCUGGAAUCCAGAGAUUUGGAGUGCUCGCAAGAGAACGGAAUUGCAGUGCUGUGGCUGUCGUCAGCUCGUGUCGUGAGAUGUUGGGUUAAGUCCCGCAACGAGCUGGCCGCAGUAGAGUAGGGUUGCACGAAAGAGGCACUCUAAUGAGACUGCCGGUGACAAACGGAGGAAGGUGGGGAUGACGUCAAGUCCUCGCCGGCCCAUAUGGGUAGGGCUUCACACGUCGCUGCAAUGGUCGGGACAGAGGGUCGCACCAGCCUGUGAGGAGCCGAUCUGAAAACCCGGUAGUCCGGAUCGCAGUCUGCAACUCAAACUGCGUGAAGUCGGAAUCGCUAGUAAUCGCGGAUGUAUGCUGAUGAAUGUUCUCCGGGUCUGCGCACCGCCCGUCACACCAUGGGAGUGGGUUUUACCAGAAGUAGUUAGCCUAACCGUAAAGGAGGGCGGAUACCACGGUAGGAUUGCUGACUGGGGGUGAAGUCGUAACAAGGUAG
This 1465-nucleotide ribosomal RNA is filed under the name uncultured Bordetella sp. RNAcentral describes it as "partial 16S-23S ribosomal RNA intergenic spacer". It matches the Rfam family "Bacterial small subunit ribosomal RNA". The record is from RNAcentral. Lineage: Bacteria; Pseudomonadati; Pseudomonadota; Betaproteobacteria; Burkholderiales; Alcaligenaceae.